RNAcentral lists this ribosomal RNA (305 nucleotides) under uncultured bacterium. RNAcentral's name for it is "bacterial SSU rRNA". It matches the Rfam family "Bacterial small subunit ribosomal RNA", at positions 335 to 632 of the family's 1533-position model. The record is from RNAcentral.
UUGCCUACGGGGGGCAGCAGUAGGGAAUUUUCGUCAAUGGGCGCAAGCCUGAACGAGCAAUGCCGCGUGAACGAGGAAGGUCUUCGGAUCGUAAAACUCUGUUGGUAGAGAAGAACGUUGGUGAGAGUGGAAAGCUCAUCAAGUGACGGUAACUACCCAGAAAGGGACGGCUAACUACGUGCCAGCAGCCGCGGUAAUACGUAGGUCCCGAGCGUUGUCCGGAUUUAUUGGGCGUAAAGCGAGCGCAGGUGGUUUAUUAAGUCUGGUGUAAAAGGCAGUGGCUCAACCAUUGGAUGCAUUGGAAA